UUGCCUCCCAACAAUGGUUGGCCCAUUUACCAGUGUGGUGCUGCAUUAAACACUUCCGCGGUUGACCCCUCUCUUAUCCAGGGCCUCCCUACCCCUGUGUCCUCUCCACUCUGCAACAUAAAAUAUCCCACAAGCUUUCACUUCUACUCAGUCUCCGGCAGACUCCAAAACCAGGUUCUGAGAAAAGCCUAAAAGACUCGCGACUUCAUCUUGCAAAGAAAGAGUCCCAGUGAACUCCCUUGAAAAUGUAUUCAGAGGGGCUGUGGAUAUUGGUUAGUUUGUAGAGCACUAGCCUAGCACGCACGAAGCCCCGGACUCGAUCUCCAGAAGCAUGCAAACUGGCAUAGUGGCAAAUAUCGGUAAUCUCAGUACUGGGGGGUGGCAGGGAGAAAGAAAGAUAAAAGAUUCAAGGUCACCUUGGCUAUAUGGUGAAUUCAAGGCUAGUCUGAGCUACAUAAAACCUAGUUUCAAAAAACAAAAACAAAACAAAAAACUGUUCAGAUAGAUUCUCACCCAUCUCCUGGAAGUCAACAAAGGGAUUCCAGGGGUGGAAGAGAUGGGCAAGUUGGCACUCUAUAAGGUCAGGUGUGAAUUUAGCAUUCUGUUUAGAAUACAGUUGUGUCUCCUGUUGCUUUUGAGAGUCAGGAUGUACCAUCAGUUAACCUGCCAGCCCCUUUGGCCCUUGGAAUGAUUUAGGACUUAGAAAUUUAAUCUUCAUGUACAACCCCUUUUGUAGACAAGAUACUUAGUGUCUCUAUCAUAAAAAUUCCUUACUAAGGUUCCCCUAUUAUCAUAUCCUUGGUGCAACAGCAAGACAUCUGGAAAACUAUUGUGGAAUUUAACCUCUCAGCUGUAAUAGCUUUCAUCAGUUUUACUGCCUUCAAUUACCCCAAGGACUCCCCCCACCCCUCCCCACUCCCCCACCCCCCCACCCCGCCCCAGACAGGGUUUCUCUGUUGUUUUGGUGCCUGUCCUGGAUCUCGCUCUGUAGCCCAGGCUGGCCUCAAACUCACAGAGAUCUGCCUGCCUCUGCCUCCCAAGUGCUGGGAUUAAAGACGUCCGCCAUGACUGCCUGGCUCCAAGGAACUAUUAUAUGAGCUAAAACUGCGUCUCCGGGCCGACCUACAGGAUUUCUGGAAGUACAACUGUAAAGAGUGCUUGGUGUAGAACCCGGGGAUCCAUGCACAUUAGGGAAGCAAUGCUACCACUGAACUGUGCUCUCAGCUUCAACCUGUCUUUGGCUCCAGCUUCUCCUGGGCAUCUUUUAAAGCUUCAGAAUACUUGUCCAGCUCAUCUUCUGUUCCUUUCAGCUUCUUCUGCAUGGUUGCUAAUUCAUCCUCUAGCUGUAGGAGCCCAAAGAGUAACCAGAGACAUAAACAC
Molecule: non-coding RNA, 1380 nt
Organism: Peromyscus maniculatus bairdii (prairie deer mouse)
Lineage: Eukaryota; Metazoa; Chordata; Mammalia; Rodentia; Cricetidae
Source: RefSeq, a predicted model, not a curated record